RNAcentral lists this ribosomal RNA (485 nucleotides) under uncultured bacterium. Its description in RNAcentral is "bacterial SSU rRNA". It matches the Rfam family "Bacterial small subunit ribosomal RNA", at positions 371 to 874 of the family's 1533-position model. The record is from RNAcentral.
AUGGGCGCAAGCCUGAUCUAGCCAUGCCGCGUGAGUGAUGAAGGCCUUAGGGUCGUAAAGCUCUUUCGCCAGGGAUGAUAAUGACWGUAUCUGGUAAAGAAACCCCGGCUAACUCCGUGCCAGCAGCCGCGGUAAUACGGAGGGGGUUAGCGUUGUUCGGAAUUACUGGGCGUAAAGCGCGCGUAGGCGGACUAUUAAGUCAGAGGUGAAAUCCCAGGGCUCAACCCUGGAACUGCCUUUGAUACUGGGUGUCUUGAGUUCGAGAGAGGUGAGUGGAAUUCCGAGUGUAGAGGUGAAAUUCGUAGAUAUUCGGAGGAACACCAGUGGCGAAGGCGGCUCACUGGCUCGAUACUGACGCUGAGGUGCGAAAGUGUGGGGAGCAAACAGGAUUAGAUACCCUGGUAGUCCACACCGUAAACGAUGAAUGCCAGUCGUCGGGUAGUAUACUWUUCGGUGACACACCUAACGGAUUAAGCAUUCCGCCU